RNAcentral lists this ribosomal RNA (879 nucleotides) under uncultured soil bacterium. RNAcentral describes it as "bacterial SSU rRNA". It matches the Rfam family "Bacterial small subunit ribosomal RNA", at positions 62 to 945 of the family's 1533-position model. The record is from RNAcentral.
UCGAACGAAUCAAAUAUGGGUAACUGGGUGGGGGAAGUGGCGAAAGGGGCAGUAAGGCGUGGGCAACCUACCCCGGGGAUCGGGAUAGCCGUCCUAACGGACGGAUAAUACCGGGCGAUCUGGCGAGGAGGCAUCUUCUGGCCAGGAAAUGAAUUUCGCCUCGGGAGGGGCUCACGUAGUAUUAGCUUGUUGGCGGGGUAACGGCCCACCAAGGCCAAGAUGCUUAGCGGGUGUGAGAGCACGACCCGCGCCACUGGCACUGAGACACUGGCCAGACUCCUACGGGAGGCUGCAGUCGAGGAUCUUCGGCAAUGGGCGCAAGCCUGACCGAGCGACGCCGCGUGUGCGAUGAAGGCCUUCGGGUUGUAAAGCACUGUCGAGGGGGAGAAAAGCCCGCAAGGGUCUGAUCUAUCCCUGGAGGAAGCACGGGCUAAGUUCGUGCCAGCAGCCGCGGUAAGACGAACCGUGCGAACGUUGUUCGGAUUCACUGGGCUUAAAGGGCGCGUAGGCGGACGGUCAAGUCGGGGGUGAAAUCUUUCAGCUUAACUGGAAACGUGCCUUCGAUACUGAUCGUCUCGAGGGAGGUAGGGGCAUGCGGAACUUCCGGUGGAGCGGUGAAAUGCGUAGAUAUCGGAAGGAACGCCGGUGGCGAAAGCGGCGUGCUGGACCUCUUCUGACGCUGAGGCGCGAAAGCCAGGGGAGCGAACGGGAUUAGAUACCCCGGUAGUCCUGGCCCUAAACGAUGGGUACUAGAUUGUGGACUUAACAUGGGUUCCCAAUCGAAGCUAAAGUGUUAAGUACCCCGCCUGGGGAGUAUGGUCGCAAGGCUGAAACUCAAAGGAAUUGACGGGGGCUCACACAAGCGGUGGAGCAUGUGGC